GCAUUAAGUACCCCGCCUGGGGAGUACGGCCGCAAGGCUAAAACUCAAAGGAAUUGACGGGGCCCCGCACAAGCGGCGGAGCAUGCGGAUUAAUUCGAUGCAACGCGAAGAACCUUACCUGGGUUUGACAUAUAUCGGAAACGUUCAGAGAUGGGCGCCCCGUAAGGUCGGUAUACAGGUGGUGCAUGGCUGUCGUCAGCUCGUGUCGUGAGAUGUUGGGUUAAGUCCCGCAACGAGCGCAACCCUCGUCCAAUGUUGCCAGCGGGUUAUGCCGGGGACUCAUUGGAGACCGCCGGGGUCAACUCGGAGGAAGGUGGGGAUGACGUCAAGUCAUCAUGCCCCUUAUGUCCAGGGCUUCACGCAUGCUACAAUGGCCGGUACAAAGAGUUGCGAGCCUGUGAGGGUGAGCGAAUCUCAAAAAGCCGGUCUCAGUUCGGAUUGGGGUCUGCAACUCGACCCCAUGAAGUCGGAGUCGCUAGUAAUCGCAGAUCAGCAACGCUGCGGUGAAUACGUUCCCGGGGCUUGUACACACCGCCCGUCAAGUCAUGAAAGUCGGUAACACCCGAAGCCGGUGGCCUAACCCGUUUGGGGGGGAGCUGUCGAAGGUGGGACUGGUAAUUAGGACUAAGUCGUAACAAGGUAACC
This 645-nucleotide ribosomal RNA is filed under the name uncultured bacterium. RNAcentral's name for it is "bacterial SSU rRNA". It matches the Rfam family "Bacterial small subunit ribosomal RNA", at positions 857 to 1501 of the family's 1533-position model. The record is from RNAcentral.